GCCAGCUUGGCGCAGUGGUAGUAAGUUGACGAAAUUCUUCCGUCAAACUCGAUCGUAAGGACUAACCAAUUCCAGACGCGUCGCACUUGUAUCUCUCAAGCAAAUGCGAAGAUCACUGGUUCAAUUCCAGUAGUUGGCA
This is a non-coding RNA of Lophiotrema nucula, 139 nucleotides long. NCBI's taxonomy places the organism in Eukaryota, Fungi, Ascomycota, Dothideomycetes, Pleosporales, Lophiotremataceae. The record is from the annotation of a GenBank genome assembly.